UCUUUAAUCUAUGGAAUCAGAUUUUGAAUGAAAAUGUACACCUGACACGGAGGUGCAAUUGGAUUGUGAAUAAAAAUUUGUGAUUGACCUGACCAUCCAAGGGAUGAACUUACCCCACCACCGACCAACUCAUCCAGAUACGGCGAGCUACAUAAUGCAAUUCAACAAAAUACAUGGGUAGCCUAUCAGUUUAAAUUUUGACACAAUUAUUUAGUGGUAACAAGGCAAAAAGAAAAAAAAAUUAAUCUUUGCUUCUUUGCCCGCACACUACUACUAGACCCUCGGAUAUAUGAUUUACAGCAUCGGAGACAAGGAUUAUUUUAUGUUAUGGAUAUUAUUAUCAAAUAUUAUUAUCAAAAAGUGUACAUUUGAUGUGACAAGAGCGUACGAGCAUAACCGUGUGCAUAAAUUGUAUCUGAAAACGGAUGUAGUCAAAACUCCAGAAAAAAUGGUGCAAGUAUGCAUUUGGCUAACGGAAUAAGACACUAAGCUAGAUUGUUUAUACUUUAAACAGUUCGUGCAAACUGUGCCAAGACGAUUUUAAAUGACAGGGUGUGUAUUGACCAUGCAGGCAAACCAGCCAGCGACUCGACAUGUUAUGAUCCCACCAAUAUUUACAUCAAAUUUGCGCGUUACAAGUACAACGUCGACCCUACCACACUCCUCCACUGCCACUCCAAGCGCAUCCAUAAAUAUCUCCAAAACGAUUUGGCCACCCAUAACUUCAUCGCCUCCUGCCAUUAUUUCAACACUUGACUUCCGGCCACACUACAAACUGCACUAACCACUGUCGAUCGAUCAGAAACCAGUGCACCUUCUUUGAUCCAAAGCGUUAAAUUUUCAUUGUAGAAUAAAUAAUGGCAUGUUCAAAUUUAAUCUUUUAUGCCGAUUGUUCACUGUUUAUUAAAAUGCACCUAUAAGUAUACUAGUGUGGAUGAAAUAAAAGGUGUGCUCGAAUCUAUCGUCUUGUUUGUGUCUAAGCACAACAGAAAAGAUGGGGUCAACUUGUUUACCGAUAACAAUUUGAACCUGUGGAAAGAAGUGGGUUCUCGGUCAACGUCCCCUUUCAUCACAAGUUUAUCUGCAGUCGUCCAAUAAUCUGGUCACAAAAUGUGCACGUUGGUCGCAAGUGCUACAAGAAAAGUUAAUUCAAAAUUUCUGCAGUCUAUUUCAUUCCUGGUGUACCGCUUGCUUGCCGUAUGCUCAACACUGUUCCUGGGCGAUGACAACGACUACAACACCACACAUUUUCCGGAAAAACGUCCGUCCAGUUGACUUUGGAGGAGUAGGCUUCCUGGUAAUUCGCCAUUGUUGGAAAUUACACGCUACGUGUCGCAAGUUGUUGUCCAUCGGAAAAUCGAGAUUAGUUCAGGACAACUGAUUAGUGACUAGGCGAAAGUUCUUCCCUAGAUGAGGAAUAUCUUUAUGUUCCGUGUCCUGGACAAGAGAUGGUACAAAACCAUUUGGGAUUCCUGGAUGGCAGGGGUGGGUUUGGAACUCGCAGGAAAUUUGAGUUAUUGGACAUUCUGGUUCUGAGCCUGACUUUGGGAUUUAUCAUCCGAGACGACACCAAAAGCGUGAGGAUCAAGGCGCCCUGGAUAUUUUUUGGGUAGCGGUUUAGUGGGAUAAGAGAUGGGGCCCCACUUCGCGACAUGAGGUCCGCCUCAUGAUAUGGAGGAGGAACCGGCGGACGUAUGGUGAGACGGUCGUGACUUCUUGCAUUUUUUCUUCUCUGCAGGAGCAGUAACUGUUUAUCUUUGCGCCUGAGUUUUGCGGAAACUUCUUUCUGUUAUU
Long non-coding RNA from Folsomia candida, 1794 nucleotides. RefSeq lists it as uncharacterized. The transcript has 4 exons. The record is from RefSeq and is a predicted model, not a curated record. Lineage: Eukaryota; Metazoa; Arthropoda; Collembola; Entomobryomorpha; Isotomidae.